AGAGAGCAAGGCCAAAAACCCAGAACUGUUGAGGUCAACAAAAUUAAGGAAGCAUGUUGCUACCUUAUGUCAGCUUCUCGACCUGAACAAUCAGGAACUCGAGCAAGUUGCUCGUUUUAUGGGACACGACAUUAGAGUCCAUUGUGAGUUUUAUCGGCAGACCGAUAAAACUUUCCAAGUGGCCAAGAUUGCCAAACUACUGUUUGCGAUGGAACGUGGGACAGAGUCGCUGAAGGGAAAGAGUCUGCAAACCCUGGACUCUGUUAUCACUGGAAGAGCACAUGCAGCCACCUCAACCAAAGGUCUGAAAAGUGGCAAAAAGAGAAGACCAGAUCCAGGGAGACGACAGGAAGCUCAAGAUGAAUGAGAAGUGCCACAUUCAGCUGUAGCAACGAGAUCUGAUGAUGAAGAUGAUGGAGGCGGUAACAGUACCAACUUGGACACUGAAAACACAGGCACCUACAAAAGGCCACCGAAGAUGCAGUCAAUUAAAGAAAGAAAUUAUGCUGAUGACGCUGAUGACGACAUGAGUGAUGUUUCUGGCAGUGAAUAUGGCGAUGGAGGGGUGUGCCAUAAGACAGUUAAGAAGACUGUCAAGAAAAAAAAGACAAUGUUGGGAAGACAUGGAUUGGUCUAUGACGCAUCUUUCACACAUGGCCAAGAACAACCAUCAACAUCAGGGAGCGCCACCAAACUUUUUGGAGGA
Hippocampus zosterae (dwarf seahorse) is the source of this 706-nucleotide long non-coding RNA. RefSeq lists it as uncharacterized. The transcript is spliced from 6 exons. The record is from RefSeq and is a predicted model, not a curated record. Lineage: Eukaryota; Metazoa; Chordata; Actinopteri; Syngnathiformes; Syngnathidae.